RNAcentral lists this ribosomal RNA (347 nucleotides) under uncultured eukaryote. RNAcentral describes it as "SSU rRNA". It matches the Rfam family "Eukaryotic small subunit ribosomal RNA", at positions 587 to 972 of the family's 1831-position model. The record is from RNAcentral.
AGCUCCAAUAGCGUAUCUUAAAGUUGCUGCAGUUAAAAAGCUCGUAGUUGGUGGUUCGCUACUGCCUAGUGUUCGCUUUGCGUGCGUGGGUGUGAGUUGAUACUUGGCUCGUUUAAAACGAGCUACAAACACUGUGAGUAAAUUAGAGGGAUCCAAACAGGCUUGGCCAGAAUGUUUCAGCAUGGUAUGGGUUCUCGACUACUUCAGCUUUUAGCUUCGCUAAUGUUGCUGAAGGAGUAAAGGUUAAUAGGGAUGGAUGAUGGGAUUUGUAUUGAGUUGCUAGAGGUGAAAUUCUUGGACCAACUCAAGACAUCCAGAAGCGAAAGCUCUUCUCACAGAUGCUCUUA